RNAcentral lists this unclassified non-coding RNA (324 nucleotides) under soil metagenome. RNAcentral describes it as "partial contains 5.8S ribosomal RNA, internal transcribed spacer 2, and large subunit ribosomal RNA". The stretch from base 1 to 120 matches the Rfam family "5.8S ribosomal RNA", at positions 35 to 154 of the family's 154-position model. The record is from RNAcentral.
GAUGAAGAACGUAGUGAAAUGCGAUAAGUAAUGUGAAUUGCAGAAUUCAGUGAGUCAUCGAAUCUUUGAACGCACAUUGCGCCCUGUGGUAUUCCGCAGGGCAUGCCUGUUCGAGCGUCAUUUCAACCCUCAAGCCCCGCUUGGUGUUGGGCCCCGCCCGCCGUGGCCGGCCCUAAAGACAGUGGCGGCGCCGCCUGGCCCUCAGCGUAGUACAGCUCUCGCUCCAGGGUCCGGCGGCCGCCUGCCAGAACCCCCCAACUCUGUGGUUGACCUCGGAUCAGGUAGGGAUACCCGCUGAACUUAAGCAUAUCAAUAAGCGGAGGA